This 254-nucleotide unclassified non-coding RNA is filed under the name uncultured Patescibacteria group bacterium. RNAcentral describes it as "contains 16S-23S intergenic spacer region". It matches the Rfam family "Bacterial small subunit ribosomal RNA", at positions 524 to 776 of the family's 1533-position model. The record is from RNAcentral.
UACGAAGGGUGUAAACGUUGCCCGGAUUUAUUGGGCGUAAAGUGUUUCGUAGGCGACUCAUCGCAUCUUGUUUUAAAGCUUCUGGCUCAACCAGAAAAAAGGACAAGAGAUGGGUGAGAUUGAAGGUUGUCGGGGUCACUGGAACUGUCGGUGUAGGGGUGAAAUCCGUCGAUAUCGAUAGGAACUCCAAAGGCGAAGGCGGGUGACUAGGCAAAUCUUGACGCUGAUGAACGAAAGCUAGGGGAGCGAAACGG